AGAGAAUAAAAGCAGGCUGCCCGAGCCAGCAGUGGCAACCUGAUGGGGUCCCUUUUCAAGCUGUGGAACCUUUGUUCUUUCUCUGUUUGCAAUAAAUCUUGCCACUGCUCACUCUUUGGGUCCACACUGCUUUUAUGAGCUGUAACACUCACCGCGAAGGUCCGCAGCUUCACUCCUGAAGCCAGCGAGACCACGAGCCUACUGGGAGGAACGAACAACUCCCGACGCGCCGCCUUAAGAGCUGUAACACUCACCGCGAAGGUCUGCAGCUUCACUCCUGAGCCAGCGAGACCACGAACCCACCAGAAGGAAAAAACUCCGAACACAUCUGAACAUCAGAAGCAACAAACUCCGGACACGCCGCCUUUAAGAACUGUAACACUCACUGCGAGGGUCCGCGGCUUCAUUCUUGAAGUGAGUGAGACCAAGAACCCACCAGUUCUGGACACAAUUUCAAGUCCUCAGGUGCCAUCAAUAUUCUGAAAAUGGCAGUGAUUUUUAUUCAACCUGUAUAAGGCACUUUCACCAUGUACCUGGAAGCAACAUCUACAUCUUUUUCAGUUUCUUCUACGCCAGGUGUGUGCUUAGCUCCAUGACAAAAGGUGACAGCUUAUUCUGCAGCACACACACAUCAUCAAAGUGGGAGGUGGUGAGACUGGCACACUGACAGUCUGUCCUAGCAGAUUUCAGCUCACACUGCAAUCUAGAUGCUGGGGACACAAGGUCCACCUUCCAGGAAUAUGGCCAUGACACCAGAAAUCACAAACAUGAUGAGAAUGGAAUGACUGGGGAAGAAGUGCCAGAUGCUUCACUUGUAAAUGAAGACCCAGCCUCUGGGGAUGCAGAUACCACCUCCCUGAAGAAGCUGAAUAUCUGCAGAUAAGUGGAGUUCACCAAUGAUGAGGAGCGGGAUGGAGAAAGGAGGUAGGGAGAGUCAUCCAAGGAACAUGAGCAACAUGUUAAAAGAAUUGAACCAGAGUCCGGUGAAUAUCAGCACUGGGACCAGUUAGCAGAGGAAAAGGAAAGAAUAAAAGCGAAAAGAAUGAAGAGUCAUAUGAUUACCAACUUUUCCUUUUUCAUAUAAAUUGAGUGUAUAUGGGUCUGGAACAACCUGAAUUUCCAUCAAGUCCUGGCUAACCUCAUUAUGUCCUAUGAAUAUUUUUGACUAAUCCCACUUUACAUUAAUCUGUAUUGUGAAUGUGGAUAUUGAAUUAUAUUUCUUUGUAAUCCCAUUAUCCAAAAUCCAGUUCAGAGACUAUUAGUUACCAAUGUUCACUGUGAAGGAAAAAAAAAAAAAAAAAGCUCAGAGGAUAAACAUGUGAUAUGGUUUGGCUGUGUCCCCACCCAAAUAUCAUCUUGAAUUGUAGCUCCCAUAAUUCCCACGUGUUGUGGGAGGGACCCGGUGGGAGAUAAUUGUAUCAUGGGGGUGGUUCCCCCAUACUAUUCUCAUAGUAGUGAAUAAGUCUCACAAAAUCUGAUGGUUUUAUGAGGGAAAACCCCUUUCACCUGGUUCUCAUUCUCUUCUCUGGUCUGUCGUCAUGUAAGACAUGCCUUUCACCUUCUCCACCAUGACUGUGAGGCCUCCCCAGCCACGUGGAACUGUGAGCCCAUUAAACCUCUUUCACUUAUAAAUUACCCAGUCUCUGGUAUAUCUUUAUCAGCAGCAUGAAAACAGACUAGUACAACAUGUUUGGAAAUGAUGUUCAGAAUUAAAUUUUCUUCUUGAAGAAUAAUAAUGUACAGGAGUGUGUUGAAGAUUUUGAGAAUUCUCACAGCAAAGGAACUUGUUAAUUUUUUUAAUCCACCUACCUAAUAGAAUUAAUAUUUUAAGAGAAACAGCUUGUGAAACAAUUAUAUAUAUGGUCCCAUAAAAACUUUUAGAAAACAAUUAUUAUACACACAUAUAAACACAUAUUACUUACUAGUAAAGAUGUACCUAUCUUCCUAGGAAGCUCUUUCAUGGUAUUUCAUUAGUAUCCCUUCCAGCACCUACCAUCCAUCCAGGCAAAUUUUAGAUGUUUUACAAAGGUUUAUGAAAUUGCAUUAAACACCUGUUAAAAAUCACUUUGUUCAUUGCAAGACAUUUAUAUACUGUAGUUUUAAAGAAAGAUAACAGCUGAGGGGAGCUACAGGAAAAAGAAAAGCAUAGAACUUAUGUUGAAUUAUUUUUCUUGUGCAUAUGAAGUUGCUCUGUGAGAACAAGAGCACUCAGCAGACGUAUAGAUCCACUAUCUUUUCACAUGGCAAUAUGUUCAUCCUUUCAGACAAUUUGAGCAAGUUUGGAACAUAAAAUAAUACAAAGAGGCUAAAAUGCAAAGCAAAAAAAAAAAAAUGAAAAUGAUUGGCACAAAAUAAUGGAGCAAUUGUAAGAGAUGUUACAUGUGUAAACUUAAACCAGGACAUAAACCGUUGAAGUUCACCGUUUAAGGAAGCAUCCAAAUAUAUAAUAGUCCUGCUAAAUGCUUGGAGUAGCAAAUUUCUAUCACAUGCAUCCACAUGCACAUCUUACAUUAAAAUCCCGUGACAAUAGUGUUAACAUCUUGUCAUUUUAGCCUUGAAUGUCAAAGGCUCAUGGGAUCUACUCCAUGACUCACAUAACCUGUAUAUCUAGAAACAGGUGUUUUAAACUCUACAUCUGGUGAUAAAUAUUAAAGAUAGAAGAUGAGAGUUCUAAAACAGUCUACUUAUUUCAUUUCCACUUGGCUUUGCCACCAUUACCUAAACUAUUACAGAUUGAGCUCCACAGACUACUCAGAAUUCUCCUCCUGUCUUGAAAUUCCAAAUGCAAUUUUCCCAGGAUUUUUAGAAAUUUAUGAAAUUAUUAGCCAAAAAUAUUAUAUUUCAAGAUUAAGCCCUCAUCCUACAGUUUAGAAAACCAAGAGCCAGCUGAAAAUACUUGCUCAAAUUCAGAGAAUGAAUGUUGUCUAAAUUAGUUCAAAAACAAGUGACUCAUUGAAGAUAAAGUAGUGUGGUGAUUAAAAGCAUGUACUUUGAAAAAAAAAAAAGUGACUCUUGGCUUGUAAUACAAUUUUUUCACUGCAUUAUUCUAAGGAAAUUUGUUAGUAGAGCUGAAAUAAUACAGCAUUAGGGUUAAAAAGUACAAGUUUCAAAGUUACAAAGACCAAGGUAGCGAAAGGCAAAUUACUCAACCUCUCUAAACAUGGUUUAUUCAUUAGUAAAAGAAGAACAAGAAUAUUAUUUAUGACAUAGUAUUAAGAGUUUUAAACAAUGUAGAAUACUGAAAGUGCCAAAAAACUAUUGUCAUUAUUACAUAUGUAAGUAAAAUUUAUUUUCUGCAUAUCAUUGUAUUAGUCUGUUUUCAUACUGCUACAAGGAACUACCCAAGCAGGUAAUUUGUAAAGAAAAGAGGUUUAAUUGACACACAGUUCAGCAUGGCUCGGGGGGCGGGGGGGCCCUCAGGAAACUUACAAUCAUGAUGGAAGGCAAAGGGGGAGCAAGGCACCUUCUUCACGAGGCGGCAGGAAGGAGAAAUGCUGAGUGAAAGGGGAAGAGCCCCUUAUAAAACCAUCAGAUCUAGUGAGAACUCACUAUCAUGAGAACCGCAUGGAAGAAACUGCUUCUGUGAUUCAGUUAUCUCCACUUGGUCUCUCCCUUGACACACGACGAAUUACAAUUCAAGAUGACUUUUGGGUGGAGACACAAAGCCUAACCAUAUCAAUCACCAUACCUUUCAAAAACUACAAAUAGUUUUCAUUACAUUUGGAGGUCAGUCUCAUGUAAAUUAUAAUGAGGUAUCAUAUUCAAAAUCCACUUUGAUCUCUGCUUCUAAGAGGACGGAGUGGACAUAAUUUCCGUAUUCCUCCCAAUGGGCACAACUAAAAACUCUGGAAAUGAUAUAUAAAACAAAUGUAAGAAGACUCUAAAGCAUGGAAAGAAAAAGGCAGGCGAGCUUGGGAAAUUGGAAUUCAAUGAACUACACAGUGCUGAGUUCCCUGAGUUUUCAUCUUGCCUCACAUAUCAUCUCAGACUGGGCACUAAAGACAUCAACAACCCGAAAAUACUAAAACGCUAAUGGACACAAACACCAAAACACACACAUACACACACAAAUAAAAACCCAAGAGAAGCCUGCUUUCUCUUGCCAAUGGACCAGAAAAGAAGCAGCAUAGGAAGACAGAAAACAUUUAGACAAUAACCACUUUACUCUAGCCAAACACUAUGUAAAAUACUGCAUGCCUACCCCUAGAAGCAAAGGCAGAGGGGAGAGUCCAGUCUUUGGACUCUUGCCAGGCUGCCAGGAGGUGCUGCAAGCCCUACCUACCUCCAGAGUGGUGUCAGAGAAGGCAGAGUGGAAAGCUGAGACCAUCAUCCCUAUCAGGUGGUAAAGAGGAUCCCCUUCAGGGUGUCAGGGGAGUCCAUGGGAAGAGGGAUAGGGACUUGGAUUUCCACCCUACCCAGAGGCACCAAGGCACCCACACUCCUCUCACUGAGGUGCUGUCAGAGGAGGUCUAAUGGAGAGUCGGUACUUUAAUGUGGCUCAGUGGUAACAAGCUCGACCCCAAAAGUGCUAGUAGAGGCCAUGUGGGAAGCUGUAAGAAGACAUCCCUCCCCUCCCAGCCAGGGUGGUAUCAACAGAUACCUAAUGGGGAACUGAGUUUUGACCAAAGUGCAAAAGCAAUUCAAUGGAGGAACAAACUUUUCAAUAAAUGGUGCUGAAGCAAUUGGAUACCUAUAGGCAAAAAAAUAAAAAUAAAAAAAAAUUAGACCUCAAACGUUUAACAAAAAUUAACUCAAAAUAAAUAGUAUAUUUAAUAUAAAAUGUAAACUACAAAACUUACAAAAUAACAUUGGAGAAAAUUUUCAGGACCUAGGACUUGGUGAAGAAAAUGUAGAUGUGACACCAAAAGCACAAUCCAUACGAGUAAAAAAUCAAUAAAUUGGAUCUACUUUUGCUCUGUGAAAGAUCCUGUUUAAGAGAAUGAAAAGACAAGCUAUAGAGUGGGAGAAAAUAUUUGCAAAUAUCAGUGAGAUUUCUUAAAAUUGAACAGUUAAAAACAAAUAACCCAAUUAGAAAAUGGGCCUUCCCCACCCCCAAAAAACCCAUGAAGAGACAUUUCAGACAUGUAAGCAAAUGAAAAAAUGUUCAAAGUCACUAGCUAUUAGGGAAAUGCAAAUAAAGACCAUGAGGAGACAUCACUACAUACCUUUCAACAUGCUGACAUAAAAAAAACGGUGACAACACCAGAUGCUAGCAAGGAUACAGAGAAACUUGAUGUCUCAUACAUUGCCAGUGGGAAUACAAAAUGGUUAAGCCACUGUGGAAAACAGUUUGGCUGUUUCUUAAAGUAAUUAAACAUAUGCUUACCAUACAACCCAGAAAUUGUACUCCAGGGCAUUUAUCCCAGAGAAAUGAAACAUUAUUGUAGCAGUUUUUUGUUGUUGUUGUUAUAGCCAAAACCUGGAAUACAGCAAUAAAAAGGAAUAAACUAUUAAUACACACCAUGAUUUGGAUGGAUUUCAAAGUCAUUACAAUAAGUGAAAAAAAAUCUCAGAGGACACAUUUAUAUGUGAGCUCAUUUAUACAACAUUCUUGAAAUGAUAAAAUUACAGAGACAGGAAAAAAAAAUUAUGUUUCCCAUGAGUUAGGGAUGGUAUAGGCGAGGAAAUUGAGUGCAGCUAUAAAGGGGUAAUUUGAGGGAGAUCUUUGUGGUAAAGGAAUAGUUCUGUAUCUUGAUUGUACUGAUGAUAUAGACUGAUGAAUCUACACAUAUGAUAAAAUGACAUGGAAUCAUAUAUACUCAUUGUCUAAUUUCUGUCUUUGAUGCUGUAUUAUAGUUAUAUAAGAUGUAUCCAUUGAUGGAAACUGAGAGAAGAGUACGUGGGUUGUCUCUGUGCUACUUUUGCAACUUCCUGUGAAUCUACAAUUAUUUUAAAAUAAAAUUUUUCUUUUUUUAUUAUACUUUAAGUUCUAGGGUACAUGUGCACAAUGUGCAGGUUUGUUACAUAUGUAUACAUGUGCCAUGUUGCUGUGCUGCACCCAUUAAGUCGUCAUUUACAUUAAGUAUAUCUCCUAAUGCUAUCCCUCUCCCCUCCCCCC
This 6058-nucleotide long non-coding RNA is filed under the name Homo sapiens (human). RNAcentral's name for it is "HSALNT0044189". The record is from RNAcentral. Lineage: Eukaryota; Metazoa; Chordata; Mammalia; Primates; Hominidae.